AGUUUGAUCAUGGCUCAGAGCGAACGUUAGCGGCGGGCUUAACACAUGCAAGUCGAGCGAGAAAGUGGCUUCGGCCAUCAGUAAAGCGGCGGACGGGUGAGUAACACGUAGGUAAUCUUCCCUUGAGCGGGGGACAACGAGCCGAAAGGCUCGCUAAUACCGCAUAAGUUCCCAGGGUCCUUGGAUCUUGGGAGGAAAGCUAGGUAGCAAUAUCCGGCACUCGAGGAGGAGCCUGCGUAGCAUCAGCUAGUUGGUGGGGUAAUGGCCUACCAAGGCGAAGACGCUUAGCUGGUCUGAGAGGAUGAUCAGCCACACUGAAACUGAGACACGGUUCAGACUCCUACGGGAGGCAGCAGUGGGGAAUAUUGGACAAUGGGCGCAAGCCUGAUCCAGCCACGCCGCGUGAGUGAUGAAGGCCUUCGGGUCGUAAAGCUCUGUGGGGAGGGACGAACCGCCGUUGGUUAAUACCCAACGGCAUGACGGUACCUCCUUAGCAAGCACCGGCUAACUUCGUGCCAGCAGCCGCGGUAAUACGAAGGGUGCAAACGUUGCUCGGAAUUAUUGGGCGUAAAGCGCACGUAGGUGGCUUAGCAAGUUGGAUGUGAAAUCCCUCGGCUCAACCAAGGAGGUGCAUCCAAAACUGCUGAGCUUGAGUACUUA
Molecule: ribosomal RNA, 660 nt
Filed under: uncultured bacterium
Lineage: Bacteria
Description: bacterial SSU rRNA
Rfam family: Bacterial small subunit ribosomal RNA
Source: RNAcentral